RNAcentral lists this ribosomal RNA (480 nucleotides) under uncultured bacterium. RNAcentral describes it as "bacterial SSU rRNA". It matches the Rfam family "Bacterial small subunit ribosomal RNA", at positions 33 to 507 of the family's 1533-position model. The record is from RNAcentral.
CGGACGACGCUGGCGGCGUGCUUAAUCAUGCAAGUCGAGCGAGGCCUUGGAAUUGGAGUCCUUCGGGAUGAAGAGUCCUUGGCCUAGCGGCGGACGGGUGAGUAACGCGUGGGCAACCUACCCCAAAGUCCGGGAUAACAGUGGGAAACCGCUGCUAAUACCGGAUGACUUUACCUGAGGGCAUCCUCGGGUAAAGAAAGGUUACGCUUUGGGAUGGGCCCGCGUCCCAUUAGCUAGUUGGUGAGGUAACGGCUCACCAAGGCGACGAUGGGUAGCCGGCCUGAGAGGGUGAACGGCCACAUUGGAACUGAGAGACGGUCCAAACUCCUACGGGAGGCAGCAGUGGGGAAUAUUGGGCAAUGGGGGAAACCCUGACCCAGCAACGCCGCGUGAGGGAAGAAGGUUUUCGGAUUGUAAACCUCUGUUCUUGGUGAAGAGAAGAAGACGGUAACCGAGGAGGAAGCCCCGGCUAACUACGUG